GAUGGCGAAGGGGGUCGGGGUCGGCCUAUACAGCGGCAGGGGGCUCGGGGCAGGGCUCGAUGGCGGGUGGGGGUCUUGGGUCUGGGCUUCAUGGCAUAGGAUGGUCGGGGUCGGUGCUCGACCAUUUUCAGAAGGGAAAGGACUCCAAGAAUCUGGUAGUGGUUGAUUUCACUGCAUCAUGGUGAUGACCCUGUCGUGUCAUUGCCCCAAUCCUCACUGACCUGGCUAAGAAGAAUUCAAGUGUCAUAUUCGUGAAAGUUGAUGUUGAUGAGUUGCAGGAUGUUGCUAAGGAGUGGGAAAUCGAGGCAAUGCCAACCCUUUUGUUCCUCAAAGAAGGGAAAAUUAUUGACAAGAUUGCGGGAGCUAAGAAGGAUGAGCUUAUUGAUAAAGUUGCAAAGCAUGCAGCUGUGGCUGUUGCUUGACUUUGAUUAGUGUUUGGGACUAAAUAAAGAUCGGUAGCAUGAGGCUAUCCAAUUUGAUAAGAAAAAUACAACUUUUAUAUAAAUCAUUUUUGUGAUUGAAAACCACAUUCAUCCUUUUUAUUUCUUCUGCAACCUCAAGUUCUCUAUCUAGUUAUUUUAGUUUUGGUUUGACUUUAAUGGUGUUUAUUCUAUAUUGUAGGUGUACGCCCUGAUUUUACCACGGGCUGAUUAACGAGCUGAGAUACGGCCUAAUCAUGACUACCACGUGGACAUCCCCAAUACCGGAGCUGCCAUCGUGAGAUCCUACCUCCUUGGCUCGAGGUAACCCAAGGGUUCACCAAGAUUACUUAAUGACUAAGUCUAGACUCUGAAGGCCGCAGGUCGAGGUAAGCAUCCAGCUCAUGGUACGAGCUAGAGUUGGAGGCUGUGACCUUUUAUGAAGUCAACCACGCAAGGUAAACAUGCAUAUAUUAGACAUCACGUGUCUGAUAUAUCCCUGACUUCUUGGACACGCAACGUGAACGUGCGUAUUCAGACACCCACGACUGGGUUGGGCCGUGCAGCCCAUUAUCCCCUUACCUAUUGAUUUGACCACACUUACGUGUCAGGUUUAGGAAUUAAUCAUGAAUGUCACAGAGUUGACAUGAUAGAUAAGAAGGUCACGGGAUGACCUUCUUACCAACUCUCAGGUGCGUUCUCCUAUAAAUAUGGAGACCCUGGGAGUUACAAGGGGUUGGAUUCUAUUGUGUAAGAAAUACCCUGUAAAAGAAUACCAAGCAUAUAGCAAUAAUAUUGACUGGUGGAGUAGAAGGAUUUUAACCUUUGAACCACCUAAAAAAACGAAUUGUGUGUCACCAUUCCACUUCCAAGAUCAUUCAUCUAUUUCGGUUCAACUUAAGCAUUAAUCCCUUCCUCUUUCUUUUCUUAAUUACCUGUUGGCGAAGAACCGCGUCAACAGUAGGCUAAAACUCUACUUGGAUAUUUAAGAGAACCAAGAAAAUUAUAUAAGAGAACGAAGGCAACAAGAAAUUCUUCAAGUUGGGUAUUAUUUUCUUUCUUGCUUGUAAGAAUUAUGUACAUUGAGGAUUUGAUGUAUUAUUUACAUUGAGAAUAAUGAAUUUUUAUUAAGAAUUAUAAUGAAUUUUUAUUGAGAAUUAUUUAGUCU
Long non-coding RNA from Humulus lupulus (European hop), 1587 nucleotides. RefSeq lists it as uncharacterized. The transcript is spliced from 3 exons. The record is from RefSeq and is a predicted model, not a curated record. Lineage: Eukaryota; Viridiplantae; Streptophyta; Magnoliopsida; Rosales; Cannabaceae.